AGCAGCCGCGGUAAUUCCAGCUCCAAUAGCGUAUAUUAAAGUUGUUGCAGUUAAAAAGCUCGUAGUUGAACCUUGAGUCUGGCUGGUCGGUCCGCCUCACCGCGAGUACUGAUCCGGCUGGACCUUUCCUUCUGGGGAACCUCAUGGCCUUCACUGGCUGUGGGGGGAACCAGGACUUUUACUGUGAAAAAAUUAGAGUGUUCAAAGCAGGCCUUUGCUCGAAUACAUUAGCAUGGAAUAAUAGAAUAGGACGUGCGGUUCUAUUUUGUUGGUUUCUAGGACCGCCGUAAUGAUUAAUAGGGAUAGUCGGGGGCGUCAGUAUUCAGCUGUCAGAGGUGAAAUUCUUGGAUUUGCUGAAGACUAACUACUGCGAAAGCAUUCGCCAAGGAUGUUUUCAUUAAUCAGGGAACGAAAGUUAGGGGAUCGAAGACGAUCAGAUACCGUCGUAGUCUUAACCAUAAACUAUGCCGACUAGG
RNAcentral lists this ribosomal RNA (476 nucleotides) under uncultured Ascomycota. RNAcentral describes it as "SSU rRNA". It matches the Rfam family "Eukaryotic small subunit ribosomal RNA", at positions 569 to 1050 of the family's 1831-position model. Lineage: Eukaryota; Fungi; Ascomycota. The record is from RNAcentral.